Molecule: ribosomal RNA, 301 nt
Filed under: uncultured bacterium
Lineage: Bacteria
Description: partial 16S ribosomal RNA
Rfam family: Bacterial small subunit ribosomal RNA
Source: RNAcentral
CAGUCGCCGCGGUAAUACGAAGGGUGCAAGCGUUAAUCGGAACUACUGGGCGUAAAGCGUGCGUAGGCGGUUUGUUAAGUCUGUUGUGAAAUCCCCGGGCUCAACCUGGGAAUUGCAGUGGAUACUGGGUCACUAGAGUGUGGUAGAGGAUAGUGGAAUUUCCGGUGUAGCAGUGAAAUGCGUAGAGAUCGGAAGGAACAUCUGUGGCGAAGGCGACUAUCUGGGCCAACACUGACACUGAGGCACGAAAGCGUGGGGAGCAAACAGGAUUAGAUACCCCUGUAGUCCCUGUCUCUUAUAC